Non-coding RNA from Ornithorhynchus anatinus (platypus), 137 nucleotides. Lineage: Eukaryota; Metazoa; Chordata; Mammalia; Monotremata; Ornithorhynchidae. The record is from Rfam.
CCCCUCUCAGGAUCGCACCUAGAGAGUUUCCAUUACUCUGCCAGGCUUGGCUAAGGGAGGGAGAGUCAAACAGAUGCUAUCCAUUCCAUUCCUAGCGUGGGUAGUGGCUAGAGCGUGGAAGGCAAUCUGCUACAAGG